This 478-nucleotide ribosomal RNA is filed under the name uncultured organism. RNAcentral describes it as "partial 16S ribosomal RNA". It matches the Rfam family "Bacterial small subunit ribosomal RNA", at positions 331 to 800 of the family's 1533-position model. The record is from RNAcentral.
GUACACUCCUGCGGGAGGCAGCAGUGGGGAAUUUUGGACAAUGGGCGAAAGCCUGAUCCAGCCAUGCCGCGUGCAGGAUGAAGGCCUUCGGGUUGUAAACUGCUUUUGUACGGAACGAAACGGCCUUUUCUAAUAAAGAGGGCUAAUGACGGUACCGUAAGAAUAAGCACCGGCUAACUACGUGCCAGCAGCCGCGGUAAUACGUAGGGUGCAAGCGUUAAUCGGAAUUACUGGGCGUAAAGCGUGCGCAGGCGGUUAUGUAAGACAGUUGUGAAAUCCCCGGGCUCAACCUGGGAACUGCAUCUGUGACUGCAUAGCUAGAGUACGGUAGAGGGGGAUGGAAUUCCGCGUGUAGCAGUGAAAUGCGUAGAUAUGCGGAGGAACACCGAUGGCGAAGGCAAUCCCCUGGACCUGUACUGACGCUCAUGCACGAAAGCGUGGGGAGCAAACAGGAUUAGAUACCCUGGUAGUCCCAUGA